ACGGCUAGUUUCACUUGUUCUGCACAUGUGGAAAACAGUUAGCACUCUAUCUGAGUCGUAAUCCCAAGCAUUAUUACAGAAAAAUAAAAGUGCAUUACAAAGAAGUCAGACAU
Molecule: microRNA precursor, 113 nt
Filed under: Oryza sativa (Asian cultivated rice)
Lineage: Eukaryota; Viridiplantae; Streptophyta; Magnoliopsida; Poales; Poaceae
Description: miR413 stem-loop (osa-MIR413)
Gene: osa-MIR413
Source: miRBase by way of RNAcentral